AUUGAACGCUGGCGGCAUGCCUUACACAUGCAAGUCGAACGGUAACGCGGGGCAACCUGGCGACGAGUGGCGAACGGGUGAGUAAUGCAUCGGAACGUGCCGAGUAGUGGGGGAUAGCCCGGCGAAAGCCGGAUUAAUACCGCAUACGACCUAUGGGUGAAAGCGGGGGACCGGAAGGCCUCGCGCUAUUCGAGCGGACGAUGGCAGAUUAGGUUGUUGGUGGGGUAAAAGGCUACACAGCCGCCGAUCUGUAGCUGGUCUGAGCGGACGACCAGCCACACUGGGACUGAGACACGGCCCAGACUCCUACGGGAGGCAGCAGUGGGGAAUAUUGGACAAUGGGCGCAAGCCUGAUCCAGCCAUACCGCGUGGGUGAAGAAGGCCUUCGGGUUGUAAAGCCCUUUUGUUGGGAAAGAAAUCCAGCCGGCUAAUACCUGGUUGGGAUGACGGUACCCAAAGAAUAAGCACCGGCUAACUUCGUGCCAGCAGCCGCCGUAA
This 498-nucleotide ribosomal RNA is filed under the name uncultured bacterium. RNAcentral's name for it is "partial 16S ribosomal RNA". It matches the Rfam family "Bacterial small subunit ribosomal RNA", at positions 29 to 523 of the family's 1533-position model. The record is from RNAcentral.